This 732-nucleotide long non-coding RNA is filed under the name Salvator merianae (Argentine black and white tegu). Its description in RNAcentral is "lncRNA (ENSSMRG00000004217.1)". The record is from RNAcentral. Lineage: Eukaryota; Metazoa; Chordata; Lepidosauria; Squamata; Teiidae.
UAUUUUAUAUAACUAUUUCCAUUUAUUUUUUCUGAUCCUCAAGGAUGCAAGGAAAUGNGCGUGUCUUGUGAAGCAGGAACUCCUUGGUUAUUUGGUCGGUCCUCCAAAGGAUAGAUGAGUUCGGAUGCCUAGAGAGGCAGGAAAAAGCUCGUGGUCGUGCUCAUGGUGGUGAAUCUCGGAUGUUCUUCCGCUGCGGAGAGGAUCCCACUGAGCCGAACUGGAAAGCAUCUGAGAGACAAGAAAAGCAGCAGUAGGUACAGCAAUUCCAUGCUCGCUUCUCUGAAAAUGUCGUUCUAUGAAACAGGAAUAGAAAUGCUAAAAAUGAACAGGUGAAAAGGAUGUAAGAAAUGGGCGUGUCUAUGCCGCAGGAAUCCAUGGUUAUUUGGUCGGUCCUCCAAGGCAUAGCUGAGUUCCGAUGCCUAGACAGGCAGGAAAAGCUCGUGGUCGGGCACAUGGUGAUAACAAAUCCCGGAUGCUCUUCCGGUGCGGACAGGAUUCUACUGAGUCAAAUUGAAAAGGUGGUGAGAGACUAGAAAAGCAGCAGUNNGUACAGCAAAUCCAUGCUGGCUUCUCUGAAAAUGUCGAUCUAUGAAACAGGAAUCGAGAAACNAUAUAAAUGUAUGGAAUGUGGAAAGAAGUUCAGAGGAAGUGGUGAUCUUAAAAGACAUCACAGAACCCACACAGGGGAGAAACCAUAUAAAUGUAUGGAAUGUGGAAAGAGCUUCAUCACUA